Molecule: long non-coding RNA, 1578 nt
Filed under: Acromyrmex echinatior (Panamanian leafcutter ant)
Lineage: Eukaryota; Metazoa; Arthropoda; Insecta; Hymenoptera; Formicidae
Description: uncharacterized LOC105143073
Source: RNAcentral
CCAUUAUUAACAAUUAUUAACGAAAAUUUCGAGUAAACACGUGCAACAAAAUCAGCUGUCAAAAAUAUUUUUGUAGCGCCGACUGGUGGUCUGAUGCUAAUGAUGGCGCUGUCGAAUAUAUGAGUUAGAAAAUGUCUUUUUACAUAUAGCCGACAGAUGGCGAUCUGGUCGAUUUUUUACGUGUCAUUAUUGGGCGCAUCAGCAGACUCAACAGUUGAGUGAAUGUUCGCAGUUUAGUGUAUUCUUAAAGAUUAUCCAAUCAAAAUUUUAGAUCUAGAAGAAUACAUCAAUAGCAGCGAGCGCUCACUCAACUGUUGAGUCUGCUGAACGCUUUGACUCAGAGUGCUGAUUGGUGAAAAGUCGGUUGUGAGGGUAAAAUUUACCUUCAUCACCCGUUUUUCACCAAUCAGCGUUCGGUGUCAAAGCGCUGUUGCCUGCAUGAGGACCAAACAUGGACUAAUCGGAAUAUAGCGUUUAGAGUGUAGCAUUCAAAACAUUUGGAAGAAGCAAAUGGAUUGCAGCCUAAAGAAGACAUAUUAGGUUAUAUAUCGAUGGAAAGAUGCUAUUUUAUAUAACAUUUUGAAAUAGAUUGAUCAUAAAUUGAACGAUACUGACGUAUUCAAUCGAAUUUAAAAAUGAGUGUAAAUCAAGAACAUCUUCAACACAUUUUACUUCUUUAUUAUAAAAAAGACAAACAGCAGCGAAUUGGUUUCGCUGAUUUCGAGAUGGAAAUUUUGAUGUCAAAGAUGCAUAUCGUUCUGGUCGGCCUAUUGUGAAAAAUGUUGAUGAAAUCUUAAAAAAGUUAAAGAAAAUCGUCAUGUGAGCAGCUAUGACAUAGCUAAGGAGCUAAAUAUUGAUCAUAAAACCGUUUUUUGGGAUGCUUGCGUAAAGCAGGAUACAUAAAGAAGUUCAAUGUUUGGGUGUCACAUGAUUUGACGGUAAAAAAUUUAAUGGACCAAAUUUCCAUUUGCAAAUCGCUGCUGAAACGAAACAAAAUUGAACCUUUUCUGGAAAGAUUGAUAACGAGUGAUAAAAAGUGGAUAACAUAUGAUAAUAAUGCAAAACUCGGGUUGACGCCAAAGAAGAUGAUGCUAUGUGGAACCGGAAAGGAGUCUUCUAUUAUGAACUGCUGCCACCAGGCAAAACAGUUGAUUCUGAUCUCUAUUGUCAGCAAUUAAUGCGAUUGAAGCAAUCUAUUCAGGAAAAAUGGCCAGAAUUGAUCGAUAGAAAAGAUAUUGUUUUUCAUCAUGACAACACUAGUCCACACAUGUCUUUAAUAACUCGACAAAAAUUGAGAGAAUUUAACUGGGAAGUUUUGAUGCAUCCACCUUAAAGUCCUGACCUUGCACCGUCCGAUUACCAUUUGUUUCAGUUUUUGCAAAAUUUCCUUUAAUGGAGUAAAAGUAAACUUAACUUCAAAAGAGACUUGUGAAAAUCGUUUAUCUCAGUUUUUUUAUCGAGAAACCAGAAAUGUUCUACACCGAUGGAAUAAUGGUUCUACUUGAAAAAUGACAAAAAGUCAUUGAUCAAAACGGCACAUAUUUAGUUUAAUAAAAGGUUUAUGAACAAUUUAAAAAA